GAUUGUGAUUAGUUUGUAGGUGGGGACGUGUUGCUAUUUAGUGAAAAAUUGACAGCCUUGGCAUUUUCAGACUAUUUGUUUUGCAUCGGCCAACGCCAUGGACCAGUAGAAGCCCGCUCGGAAAGCUUUGCCUACGCUUGUUCGUGAAGAUGCGUGGUUGCCACAGAUCCCUUUGUGAAUUUAUUCCGAGAUUUCUUGGCCAUCUUCUCGGGUGACACAUUGCAUGAGAAUUCCUGAUGAUGCGCUUUUCCUGUAGAGCUUGUCUCCAACUAGGAUGUAAUUUUU
This 285-nucleotide long non-coding RNA is filed under the name Setaria viridis. RNAcentral describes it as "long non-coding RNA (SVIR_LNC009414)". Lineage: Eukaryota; Viridiplantae; Streptophyta; Magnoliopsida; Poales; Poaceae. The record is from RNAcentral.